Molecule: transfer RNA, 76 nt
Filed under: Parcubacteria group bacterium CG_4_9_14_0_2_um_filter_35_11
Lineage: Bacteria
Description: tRNA-Ile
Rfam family: tRNA
About the family: Transfer RNA (tRNA) molecules are approximately 80 nucleotides in length.
Source: RNAcentral
GGGCGUGUAGCUCAGUGGCUAGAGCAUCACUCUUAUAAAGUGGGGGUCGAUGGUUCGAGUCCAUCCACGCCCACCU